This 253-nucleotide ribosomal RNA is filed under the name uncultured bacterium. RNAcentral describes it as "partial 16S ribosomal RNA". It matches the Rfam family "Bacterial small subunit ribosomal RNA", at positions 524 to 776 of the family's 1533-position model. The record is from RNAcentral.
UACAGAGGGGGCAAGCGUUGUCCGGAUUUACUGGGCGUAAAGCGCACGUAGGCGGCUUUGUAAGUUAGAGGUGAAAGCCCAGGGCUUAACCCUGGAAUUGCCUUUAAGACUGCAUCGCUAGAAUUGUGGAGAGGUAAGUGGAAUUCCGAGUGUAGAGGUGAAAUUCGUAGAUAUUCGGAAGAACACCAGUGGCGAAGGCGACUUACUGGACACAUAUUGACGCUGAGGUGCGAAAGCGUGGGGAGCAAACAGG